RNAcentral lists this ribosomal RNA (458 nucleotides) under uncultured bacterium. Its description in RNAcentral is "partial 16S ribosomal RNA". It matches the Rfam family "Bacterial small subunit ribosomal RNA", at positions 338 to 795 of the family's 1533-position model. The record is from RNAcentral.
CCUACGGGAUGCAGCAGUGAGGAAUAUUGGUCAAUGGGCGAGAGCCUGAACCAGCCAAGUCGCGUGAGGGAGUACUGCCCUAUGGGUUGUAAACCUCUUUUGUCGAGGAGCAAAAGCCGGACGUGUCCGGCUGUGAGAGUACCCGAAGAAAAAGCAUCGGCUAACUCCGUGCCAGCCGCCGCGGUAAUACGGAGGAUGCGAUCGUUAUCCGGAUUUUUUGGGUGUAAAGGGUGCGCAGGCGGAUUUUUAAGUCAGCGGUCAAAUCGUGGGGCUCAACCCCAUCCAGCCGUUGAAACUGGGGAUCUAGAGAGGGCGAGAGGUAUGCGGAAGGCGUGGUGUAGCGGUGAAAUGCAUAGAUAGCGCGCAGAACCCCGAUUGCGAAGGCAGCAUACCGGUGCACAACUGACGCUCAGGCACGAAAGCGUGGGUAUCGAACAGGAUUAGAUACCCGAGUAGUC